AGUGAACGCUGGCGGUGCGCCUAACACAUGCAAGUCGAGUGGGUUCAGACCCACGGCGAACGGCUGCGUAACGCGUUGGCAUGUACCCCGAACUCAGGGAUAUCCCUCCGAAAGGAGGAGUAAUACCGGAUGGUCCCGCAAGGGUAAAGAUUUAUCGGUUCGGGAACAGCCUGCGUCCUAUCAGGUAGUUGGUGAGGUAACGGCUCACCAAGCCUAUGACGGGUAGCUGGUCUGAGAGGACGACCAGCCAGAAUGGAACUGAGACACGGUCCAUACUCCUACGGGAGGCAGCAGUGAGGAAUCUUCCGCAAUGGACGAAAGUCUGACGGAGCGACACCGCGUGGAGGAUGAAGGGAUUUUUUCCCGUAAACUCCUGUUCUGAGGGACGAAAUUUUUGACGGUACCUCAGGAGAAAGCAUCGGCUAACCCUGUGCCAGCAGCCGCGGUAAGACAGGGGAUGCAAGCGUUACUCGGAAUUACUGGGCGUAAAGCGUCUGCAGGUGUCUUGUCACGUCUGGUGUCAAAUGAUACGGCUUAACCGUGUCAACGUGCCGGAAACGAGCGAGAUCGAGUCAUUCAGAGGUACCUGGAAUGUCGUGUGUAGGGGUAAAAUCCGUAGAUCCACGAUGGAACGCCAAAAGCGAAGGCAGGGUACUGGGAAUGCACCGACACUCAGAGACGAAAGCGUGUGGGAGCAAAGGGGAUUAGAUACCCCCGUAGUCCCACGCCCCUAAACGAUGCGGGCUCGAUGUANGGACUUUCAUUUGGUUCCUGUGUCCAAGCUAACGCGGUAAGCCCGCCGCCUGGAAGUACGGCCGCCAAGGCUAAAACCCAAAGGAAUAGACGGGACCCACACAAGCGUUGGAACAUGGGGUUAUCGAUGCACGCGCAAAACCUUACCUGGGUUGACAUACAGUGAAGACGGCAGAGAUGUCGUCGCUCGCAAGAGUCGCUGUACAGGUGCUGCAUGGCUGUCGUCAGCUCGUGUCGUGAGAUGUUGGGUUAAGUCCCGCAACGAGCGCAACCCCUGCCUUUAGUUGCCAGCAUUAAGUUGGGCACUCUAAAGGGACUGCCGACGUUAAGUCGGAGGAAGGUGGGGAUGACGUCAAGUCCUCAUGGCCUUUAUAUCCAGGGCUACACACGUACUACAAUGGUCGGUACAAAGGGUUGCAAAGCAGUGAUGUGAAGCUAAUCCCAAAAAACCGAUCUAAGUUCGGAUUGGAGUCUGCAACUCGACUCCAUGAAGCUGGAAUCGCUAGUAAUCGCGGAUCAGCAUGCCGCGGUGAAUACGUUCCCGGGCCUUGUACACACCGCCCGUCACACCAUGAGAGCUGGUUCUACCAGAAGUCGCUGUGCUAACUCGUAGGCAGGCGCCCAAGGUAGGGCUAGUGAUUGGGGUG
RNAcentral lists this ribosomal RNA (1400 nucleotides) under uncultured bacterium. Its description in RNAcentral is "partial 16S ribosomal RNA". It matches the Rfam family "Bacterial small subunit ribosomal RNA". The record is from RNAcentral.